RNAcentral lists this long non-coding RNA (700 nucleotides) under Numida meleagris (helmeted guineafowl). RNAcentral's name for it is "lncRNA (ENSNMEG00000006821.1)". The record is from RNAcentral. Lineage: Eukaryota; Metazoa; Chordata; Aves; Galliformes; Numididae.
AUGUUCAGCUGUUCCUGCUGUCCCACUUGCAAGCAGAGCAGAACGUUUCUGGAAAUUGAGCUCAUCUUUUCCAUUGCUCUGGGAGAGACAUUGCAAUGCUGGAGCUGUUCUGGACUCAGCUCACUCAGGAUUUUUGCACUGCAUGACUGAAGGAGGGUGAGAGGAAUCACACUGCUGUAUGGAAGAAGGUGUUGAUAAGUGAGGAAGUCACAUCCGUCCCAGGAGAAAGAGUUAUUGUAGUAGAGGAGGUAAUAAUGCAGGAUAAGAAACUCUUGGAGAUUGUUUCAAGUGGCUGCAUAUGAAAACCUGGCUUUCUGGCGUGGAGUAUUUUCCCUGAAAGUUGGUGACAAGGCGGCUGAGGAUCCAGAAUUUAUGAAGGCACUUGAAAAGAGUAGUAGUUGGACAUAGGAAAGCCUUGAAGAAAAUAUUCAGGGGCUUAUUCUAAGUCCCAAGUUUUGAAAAAUCAAAGUUACAGUGCUAACAGCAGACAGUAGUUACUACAGGAGUGAUCCUCCCCUUGCCUCUUCUUGGAUAGUAUCCUUUUUUUUUUUUCACAUGUGGUUGCCUUCAUGUCCAUACAGAGAUUUUUUUAUUUUUUUUUCCUCCAUGUACAGGAAAGCUGAGAAUGAAUGAAUGCAAGUUAGACAUGAGUCCAAGCUUGAAUUUUAUUUCCAAACUUCACCCAUUUUCCAGAAGGAGG